RNAcentral lists this ribosomal RNA (445 nucleotides) under uncultured bacterium. Its description in RNAcentral is "SSU rRNA". It matches the Rfam family "Bacterial small subunit ribosomal RNA", at positions 26 to 518 of the family's 1533-position model. The record is from RNAcentral.
AGAACGAACGCUGGCGGCAGGCUUAACACAUGCAAGUCGAACGCAUCGCAAGAUGAGUGGCAGACGGGUGAGUAACGCGUGGGAAUCUACCCAAUUCUUCGGAACAACUGAGGGAAACUUCAGCUAAUACCGGAUGUGCCCUUCGGGGGAAAGAUUUAUCGGAAUUGGAUGAGCCCGCGUUGGAUUAGCUAGUUGGUGGGGUAAAGGCCUACCAAGGCGACGAUCCAUAGCUGGUCUGAGAGGAUGAUCAGCCACACUGGGACUGAGACACGGCCCAGACUCCUACGGGAGGCAGCAGUGGGGAAUAUUGGACAAUGGGCGCAAGCCUGAUCCAGCCAUGCCGCGUGUGUGAUGAAGGUCUUAGGAUUGUAAAGCACUUUCACCGGAGAAGAUAAUGACGGUAUCCGGAGAAGAACGCCCCGGCUAACUUCGUGCCAGCAGCCGC